UAGUAAAAUAAAAAGACAACGUUAAAAUAAUCAGUAUAUGUGGUUUUAACUUAAAAUAUUGUAGAAUCACACAAUGUCUUUUAUUUCUACAAUAAUUUACAUACAAUCUAUUAUUGAUAUCUUAAAUCAAACUAACAAACUCAUUUUGAUUAAAUUAUAUUUGAAACUCUAUCAUGCAGCAUGUUAGAAUACAAUAUAUAAAUUUAGAUUUAACAAUAAUAAUAUUUGUUCUAACACAGGCACACAUAUAAUUAUAUACAAUCAAUAUUUUUAACAAUCCAUUUAUAAUAGCAUGAGUGAUGUGAAAUUAUAUACAGUCAUGAACAUUGUAAGGAAAUGUACAAGUUUGCAUAGAACCAUAGAUAUUAGAGGACCUAGAAACUAAAAUGAAAUUGUGGGCGUGGCUAUGCUAAGUCUAAGAUUGCGCAUGCUCAGUAGAUCUAGAGCUGUGAAACCAUGUGCUCCAAGAAAAGAGAAGACGAUUACCCUUUCUAUAUGCUGGACAUUUGCUGCUAUAAAUCCGACUGUGAUGAUACUUCUGUGAGAGGUAUGACUGUGACUACACCAAGUGGAUGAUGAUACUUUUAGUUCUGUGAGAGGUAUGACUGUGACUACACCAAGUGGAUGAUGAUACUUCUGUGAGAGAAAUUCCUUAAACUGGCAAGCUUGACAUGCGAGAACAAACGAAACAAACAGACGAAUGGAUAGAAGUGGCGUCAUUGUUGGAUAUCCUCUCGGUGAUUGAUAAUACACGGUGGACUCUGUGUGGUCAAGAGUGAUCGGUCUGCUAUACUUGUGAGUCCAGUAUGUUACACCAAGAAGAACUAUUCCUUGGGCUAAUUAAUUUAAAACUGUCCUUUUAAUUUAACAUUGUAUACCAUUGUCUCACUCAGUUGUCACGAACGUUUCCUAUCACUAUUUUUGUAUUAACAUGUUAUUUAUUGAAUUGAAUAAUAAUUGUUAUACCGA
Long non-coding RNA from Halichondria panicea, 969 nucleotides. RefSeq lists it as uncharacterized. NCBI's taxonomy places the organism in Eukaryota, Metazoa, Porifera, Demospongiae, Suberitida, Halichondriidae. The record is from RefSeq and is a predicted model, not a curated record. The transcript is spliced from 5 exons.